RNAcentral lists this long non-coding RNA (655 nucleotides) under Heterocephalus glaber (naked mole-rat). RNAcentral describes it as "lncRNA (ENSHGLG00000034233.1)". The record is from RNAcentral. Lineage: Eukaryota; Metazoa; Chordata; Mammalia; Rodentia; Bathyergidae.
UUCAUGUGUGACUGCUGCCCUGUGAUGCCAUCUGCCACAUUAUGAUGCAGCCAGAAGGCCCUUGCCAGAUGCUGACCAGAGCAGCCUGGACCUUGGACUUUCAGCUUCCACAUUAGUCUUGCUAUGUAGCCCAGGCUGACCAUUGACUUAUGAUCCUCCUGCCUCAGCCUCCUAAGUGCUGGAAUUACAGGCAUGCAUGCCAGAUCUGAGGCUUCUGCCACAAACAUGCUGUGCCAUGAUUCUUGGUCAGGCCAAAACUUGAACUGCUGCUUCUUAUUUAUUGGAGCCAGAGGCACUGCAGCCAGCAUUGUUCAAACCAGAUUUCAGUUGAGACUGAAAACAUAACCCAAAACCUUGGAACUGGGCCCUGAGGAUCAAUCCAAGUGCUACUCCGUACAUGGAUUACAGAAAACUGGAGAGAGCAGUCCAGACUUCUGAAUGAUUAACCUUCGAAGAACUCAGGGGGAGGAGCAAAAAAGAGAAUGCCCAGAAAAUUACCUCAGCUGCAGCUUCUUCACAUGGAAACGCAGGACCUGGCACAUGGAGCAGACCCCCUAUACCACUCCUUCCCUAGCAACUCUGGACCCAGAACCCAGAAAGCUGCCUCCUGCCCAGUCAUAACCCCACUUUAGCCCAUUUUUACUGGAAAUCUGUC